RNAcentral lists this ribosomal RNA (666 nucleotides) under Agaricomycetes sp. 20KY06. RNAcentral describes it as "eukaryotic LSU rRNA". The stretch from base 238 to 391 matches the Rfam family "5.8S ribosomal RNA". The record is from RNAcentral. Lineage: Eukaryota; Fungi; Basidiomycota; Agaricomycetes.
UAGAGGAAGUAAAAGUCGUAACAAGGUUUCCGUAGGUGAACCUGCGGAAGGAUCAUUAAUGAACCUUUGAGAGUUGAGCUGGCUGAACUCCAGCAUGUGCUUGCUCUCUUAUCCUUUAUACACCUGUGCACUCUUGAAAGGGAUUAGUAGACUCUAUCUUUGAGUCGAAGUCUCCUUCAAUAUUACAUACCCUUUAAUUUAUUAUUGAAUGUUUAAAGCUUAACAGCAUUAAAUUACAACUUUUAACAACGGAUCUCUUGGCUCUCGCAUCGAUGAAGAACGCAGCGAAAUGCGAUAAGUAAUGUGAAUUGCAGAAUUCAGUGAAUCAUCGAAUCUUUGAACGCACCUUGCGCUCCCUGGUAUUCCGGGGAGCACGCCUGUUCGAGCGUCAUGAAGCUCUCAAAUAGCCUCUUUUCUUAAUUGAGAGGAUGGGUGUUUGGAUUUGGACUUUUUGCUGUGUAACAAACAGCUGGUCCGAAAGAUAUUAGCUGAUCCAAGUGAAGUUUGGUUCUACUCGGCGUGAUAAUUAUCUAACGUUGAGGACAUCGCAAGAUGGCCAAUCUGAAACUUUAAUGGGUUGCUUCUAAUCGUCUUCAUUUGACAAACUUAUAAUCAAUCUGACCUCGAAUCAGGUGGGACUACCCGCUGAACUUAAGCAUAUCAAUA